RNAcentral lists this ribosomal RNA (432 nucleotides) under uncultured bacterium. RNAcentral describes it as "bacterial SSU rRNA". It matches the Rfam family "Bacterial small subunit ribosomal RNA", at positions 338 to 787 of the family's 1533-position model. The record is from RNAcentral.
CCUACGGGGGGCAGCAGUGGGGAAUAUUGCGCAAUGGGGGAAACCCUGACGCAGCAACGCCGCGUGCGGGAUGAAGGCCUUCGGGUUGUAAACCGCUUUCAGCAGGGAAGAUCCAAGACGGUACCUGCAGAAGAAGCCCCGGCUAACUACGUGCCAGCAGCCGCGGUAAUACGUAGGGGGCGAGCGUUAUCCGGAUUCAUUGGGCGUAAAGCGCGCGCAGGCGGGUUGCUAAGCGGGACCUCUAAUCUCAGGGCUCAACCUUGAGCCGGGUCCCGAACUGGCAGCCUCGGGUUCGGUAGGGGAGAUCGGAAUUCCCGGUGUAGCGGUGGAAUGCGCAGAUAUCGGGAAGAACACCGAUGGCGAAGGCAGAUCUCUGGGCCGCAACCGACGCUGAGGCGCGAAAGCUAGGGGAGCGAACAGGAUUAGAUACCC